This 447-nucleotide ribosomal RNA is filed under the name uncultured bacterium. RNAcentral describes it as "partial 16S ribosomal RNA". It matches the Rfam family "Bacterial small subunit ribosomal RNA", at positions 29 to 523 of the family's 1533-position model. The record is from RNAcentral.
AACGAACGCUGGCGGCAGGCUUAACACAUGCAAGUCGAACGCCCCGCAAGGGGAGUGGCGCACGGGUGAGUAACGCGUGGAUAUCUGCCUUUUGGUUCGGAAUAACCCCGGGAAACUGGGGCUAAUACCGGAUGGUUCCUACGGGGUAAAGAUUUAUCGCAAAAAGAUGAGUCCGCGUACGAUUAGCUAGUUGGUGAGGUAAUGGCUCACCAAGGCGACGAUCGUUAGCUGGUCUGAGAGGACGAUCAGCCACACUGGGACUGAGACACGGCCCAGACUCCUACGGGAGGCAGCAGUGGGGAAUAUUGGACAAUGGGGGCAACCCUGAUCCAGCCAUGCCGCGUGAGUGAUGAAGGCCUUCGGGUUGUAAAGCUCUUUUGGCGGGGACGAUGAUGACGGUACCCGCAGAAUAAGCCCCGGCUAACUUCGUGCCAGCCGCCGCCGUAA